Molecule: ribosomal RNA, 568 nt
Filed under: uncultured archaeon
Lineage: Archaea
Description: bacterial SSU rRNA
Rfam family: Archaeal small subunit ribosomal RNA
Source: RNAcentral
CCGCGAAUCGCCCUUCGGGGUGCCCAGGCGCGAAACCUUUACAAUGCACGCAAGUGUGAUAGGGGGAUACUCAGUGCUUACGACUCUGUUGUAGGCUUUUGUCGAUCGUAAAUAGAUCGGCGAAUAAGUGGUGGGUAAGACUGGUGCUAGCCGCCGCGGUAACCCCAGCGCCACGAGUGGUUAUCACGAUUAUUGGGCCUAAAGCGUUCGUAGCCGGUUUGGUGCAUCUCUUGUGAAAUUGUUCGGCUUAACCGGACAGCGUGCAGGAGACACGGCCAGACUCGAGACCGGGAGGCGUGUGAAGUAUGUCGUGGGGACUGGUAAAAUGGGAUAAUCCACGAUAGACUACCGAUGGCGAAGGCAUCACACGAGAACGGAUCUGACGGUGAGGAACGAAAGCUAGGGGAGCGAACCGGAUUAGAUACCCGAGUAGUCCUAGCCGUAAACGCUGCGAGCAAGGUGUCGCGUAUCUCACGAAGAUGCGCGGUGUCGAAAUGAAGAUGCUAAGCUCGCCGCCUGGGAAGUACGGUCGCAAGACUGAAACUUUAAGGAAUUGGCGGGGGAGCAC